GACGAACGCUGGCGGCGUGCUUAACACAUGCAAGUCGAACGGAAAGGCCCUGCUUUUGUUGGGUGCUCGAGUGGCGAACGGGUGAGUAACACGUGAGUAACCUGCCCUUGACUUUGUGAUAACUUCAGGAAACUGGGGAUAAUACCGGGUAGGAGCUCCUGCUGCAUGGUGGUGGUUGGAAAGUUUCGGCGGUUGGGGCUGGUAUCGCGGCUUAUCAGCUUGUUGGGGGGGUAGUGGUUUACCAAGGCUUUGACGGGUAGCCGGCCUGAGAGCGUUACCGGCCACAUUGGGACUGAGAUAGGGCCCAGACUCCUACGGGAGGCAGAAGGGGGGAAUAUUGCAGAGUGGGCGGAAGCCUGAUGCAGCAACGCCGCGUGCGGGAUGACGGCCUUCGGGUUGUAAACCGCUUUCUCCUGUGACGAAGCGUGCGUGACGGUAAUGGGUAAAGAAGCACCGGCUAACUACGUG
This 468-nucleotide ribosomal RNA is filed under the name uncultured bacterium. RNAcentral's name for it is "partial 16S ribosomal RNA". It matches the Rfam family "Bacterial small subunit ribosomal RNA", at positions 28 to 507 of the family's 1533-position model. The record is from RNAcentral.